Molecule: long non-coding RNA, 359 nt
Organism: Pogonomyrmex barbatus (red harvester ant)
Lineage: Eukaryota; Metazoa; Arthropoda; Insecta; Hymenoptera; Formicidae
Source: RefSeq, a predicted model, not a curated record
GUAGGCUCGACGCGGAGCCGAAGGCGAACCGAACCGGUACACCGACGACUUCUAUAAAGACGCCCGCCGGCGGCGUGACGAAUGUCCAGCGAUGUAACACAACGCAUACCAUUGACCUUUUACACCGGGACCAAACCGGCGGGAGUGAAGUAACAACGAAGCGAAUCGCCGUCACGGCUCCAAUUCAGCCGAUAACGAAGCGCUGAUUAUCGUGGGACGGAAUGCACACCGCCAAUUGUAAAUCCCUUCUCCGCAAUGAAUAUAAUGUAUAAUAUGCCAUGUAAGAAAUCGACGCGUAUAAUCACAAAAACUAAAUGUUGUGCUAAUCUAUCUUAUCCUACCAGGCUGUGUCUGUGAGC